GAAUCAUUGUCAAUGAGCGCAAGCUUGAACGUGCGACGCCGCGUGUGGGAUGAAGGCCUUCGGGUUGUAAACCACUGUCCGGAGCUAACAAUAAGCGUAUAACUCACGUGAUGAGUUAAACUCCAGAGGAAGUGACCGCUAACUCCGUGACAGCAGCUGCGGUAAUACGUAGGUCGCAAACGUUGUUCGGAAUUACUGGGCUUAAAGGGCGCGUAGGCGGCUUCGUAAGUCAAGGUUGAAAUCCGGCGGCUCACCCGUCGAAGUGGCCUUGAUACUGCGGAGCUAGAAUAAUGGAGGGGUGCGCGGAACUUGUGGUGGAGCGGUGAAAUGCUCAGAUAUCACAGGGAACACCGGAGGCGAAGGCGGCGCACUGGCCAUGUAUUGACGCUGAGGCGCGAAAGCCAGGGGAGCGAACGGG
Molecule: ribosomal RNA, 418 nt
Filed under: uncultured bacterium
Lineage: Bacteria
Description: bacterial SSU rRNA
Rfam family: Bacterial small subunit ribosomal RNA
Source: RNAcentral